Molecule: ribosomal RNA, 563 nt
Filed under: Dendrostoma osmanthi
Lineage: Eukaryota; Fungi; Ascomycota; Sordariomycetes; Diaporthales; Erythrogloeaceae
Description: eukaryotic LSU rRNA
Rfam family: Eukaryotic large subunit ribosomal RNA
Source: RNAcentral
CAGGGAUUGCCCUAGUAACGGCGAGUGAAGCGGCAACAGCUCAAAUUUGAAAUCUGGCUCCGGCCCGAGUUGUAAUUUGCAGAGGAUGUUUCUGGCGCGGUGCCUUCCGAGUUCCCUGGAACGGGACGCCACAGAGGGUGAGAGCCCCGUAUGGUUGGACACCAAGCCUGUGUGAAACUCCUUCGACGAGUCGAGUAGUUUGGGAAUGCUGCUCAAAAUGGGAGGUAAAUCUCUUCUAAAGCUAAAUACCGGCCAGAGACCGAUAGCGCACAAGUAGAGUGAUCGAAAGAUGAAAAGCACCUUGAAAAGGGGGUUAAACAGUAUGUGAAAUUGUUGAAAGGGAAGCACUUGUGACCAGACUUGUGCCGGGCGGUUCAUCCGGGGUUCUCCCCGGUGCACUCCGCCCGGUAUAGGCCAGCAUCGGUUCUUUCUGGGGGAUAAGAACGGUGGGAACGUGGCCCUCCCUCGGGAGGGUGUUAUAGCCCGCCGUACGAUACCCUGGAGGGGACCGAGGUUCGCGCUCCGCAAGGAUGCUGGCGUAAUGGUCACCAGUGACCCGUCUU